GUGCUUGCUUGGGCAGCACAUAUACUAAAAUGUGAAUGAUACAGAGAAGAUUAGCAUGGCCCUUGCGCUAGGAUGACACACAAAUUCGUGAAACAUUCCAUAUUAUC
This is a small nuclear RNA of Nomascus leucogenys (northern white-cheeked gibbon), 107 nucleotides long. Lineage: Eukaryota; Metazoa; Chordata; Mammalia; Primates; Hylobatidae. The record is from Ensembl.